GGAUAGGUGUCUGAGUGGCUUAAGGUAUCAGUCUUGAAAACUGAAGGUUGCUGCGCAACCCGUGGGUUCGAAUCCCGCCCUAUCCG
This 86-nucleotide transfer RNA is filed under the name Cymbomonas tetramitiformis. RNAcentral's name for it is "tRNA-Ser". It matches the Rfam family "tRNA". From Rfam's summary of the family: Transfer RNA (tRNA) molecules are approximately 80 nucleotides in length. Their secondary structure includes four short double-helical elements and three loops (D, anti-codon, and T loops). The record is from RNAcentral. Lineage: Eukaryota; Viridiplantae; Chlorophyta; Pyramimonadophyceae; Pyramimonadales; Pyramimonadaceae.